UGGCUAACUCCUACGGGAGGCAGCAGUGGGGAAUCUUCCGCGAUGGGCGCAAGCCUGACGGAGCAACGCCGCGUGAGUGAAGAAGGUCUUCGGAUCGUAAAGCUCUGUUGAUGGGGACGAACGUACGGAGUGCGAAUAGUGCUCUGUAAUGACGGUACCUAUCGAGGAAGCCACGGCUAACUACGUGCCAGCAGCCGCGGUAAUACGUAGGUGGCGGGCGUUGUCCGGAAUCAUUGGGCGUAAAGGGAGCGCAGGCGGGCAUGUAAGUCUUUCUUAAAAGUUCGGGGCUCAACCCCGUGAUGGGAAAGAAACUACAUGUCUUGAGUACAGGAGAGGAAAGCGGAAUUCCCAGUGUAGCGGUGAAAUGCGUAGAUAUUGGGAGGAACACCAGUGGCGAAGGCGGCUUUCUGGACUGCAACUGACGCUGAGGCUCGAAAGCCAGGGGAGCGAACGGGAUUAGAAACCCCGGUAGUCCAGCUGG
This 481-nucleotide ribosomal RNA is filed under the name uncultured bacterium. RNAcentral describes it as "bacterial SSU rRNA". It matches the Rfam family "Bacterial small subunit ribosomal RNA", at positions 329 to 803 of the family's 1533-position model. The record is from RNAcentral.